Molecule: ribosomal RNA, 477 nt
Filed under: uncultured bacterium
Lineage: Bacteria
Description: partial 16S ribosomal RNA
Rfam family: Bacterial small subunit ribosomal RNA
Source: RNAcentral
GAUUAACGCUGGCGGCGUGCAUAACACAUGCAAGUCGAACGAUGAAACUUAAAUGAUUUCUUCGGAAUGAACUUAAGUGGAUUAGUGGCGGACGGGUGAGUAACGCGUGAGUAACCUGCCUUACACAAGGGGAUAGCCGUUGGAAACGACGAAUAAUACCCUAUGAAACUAUCACUUCGCAUGAAGCGAUAGUCAAAGUGUUAGCGGUGUAAGAUGGACUUGCGUCUGAUUAGCUAGUUGGUGAGAAAAAAGCCCACCAAGGCAACGAUCAGUAGCCGGCUUGAGAGAGUGUACGGCCACAUUGGGACUGGGACACGGCCCAGACUCCUACGGGAGGCAGCAGUGGGGGAUUUUGCACAAUGGGGGAAACCCUGAUGCAGCGACGCCGCGUGAUUUAGAAGGCCUUCGGGUUGUAAAAAUCUUUUGUAUAGGAAGAAAAUGACAGUACUAUACGAAUAAGGUCCGGCUAAUUACGUG